This 406-nucleotide ribosomal RNA is filed under the name uncultured bacterium. RNAcentral describes it as "partial 16S ribosomal RNA". It matches the Rfam family "Bacterial small subunit ribosomal RNA", at positions 29 to 526 of the family's 1533-position model. The record is from RNAcentral.
AUUGAACGCUGGCGGCAGGCCUAACACAUGCAAGUCGAACGAGUGGCGGAGGGGUGAGCAGUGUCUGGGAAACUGCCUGAUGGAGGGAGAUAACCAGUGGAAAAGGUAGCUAAUACCGCAAACUCUGGUAUGGGCCCAGAUGGGAUUAGCGAGUAGGUGGGGUAACGGCUCACCUAGGCGACGAUCCCUAGCAGGUCUGAGAGGAUGACCAGCCACACUGGAACUGAGACACGGUCCAGACUCCUACGGGAGGCAGCAGUGGGGAAUAUUGCACAAUGGGCGCAAGCCUGAUGCAGCCAUGCCGCGUGUAUGAAGAAGGCCUUCGGGUUGUAAAGUACUUUCAGUGGGGAGGCGUUACCCACAGAAGAAGCACCGGCUAACUCCGUGCCAGCAGCCGCGGUAAUAC